Molecule: ribosomal RNA, 568 nt
Filed under: Oidiodendron maius
Lineage: Eukaryota; Fungi; Ascomycota; Leotiomycetes; Myxotrichaceae
Description: partial 28S ribosomal RNA
Rfam family: Eukaryotic large subunit ribosomal RNA
Source: RNAcentral
ACAGGGAUUGCCUCAGUAACGGCGAGUGAAGCGGCAACAGCUCAAAUUUGAAAUCUGGCCCCCUCGGGGUCCGAGUUGUAAUUUGGAGAGGAUGCUUCGGGUGUGGCCCCGGUCUAAGUUCCUUGGAACAGGACGUCACAGAGGGUGAGAAUCCCGUACGUGCCCGGUGGCCGCCCCCGUGUGAAGCUCCUUCGACGAGUCGAGUUGUUUGGGAAUGCAGCUCAAAAUGGGUGGUAAAUUUCAUCUAAAGCUAAAUAUUGGCCAGAGACCGAUAGCGCACAAGUAGAGUGAUCGAAAGAUGAAAAGCACUUUGGAAAGAGAGUUAAACAGUACGUGAAAUUGUUGAAAGGGAAGCGCUGGCAACCAGACUUGCGCGGGGUCGAUCAUCCGGUGUUCGCACCGGUGCACUCGGCCCCGUGCAGGCCAGCAUCGGUCUGGGCGGCUGGAUAAAGGCCUUGGGAAUGUGGCUCUCUUCGGGGAGUGUUAUAGCCCAAGGUGCAAUGCAGCCCGCCUGGACCGAGGACCGCGCUCCGGCUAGGAUGCUGGCGUAAUGGUUGUCAGCGACCCG